Molecule: long non-coding RNA, 227 nt
Filed under: Camponotus floridanus (Florida carpenter ant)
Lineage: Eukaryota; Metazoa; Arthropoda; Insecta; Hymenoptera; Formicidae
Description: uncharacterized LOC112639937, transcript variant X1
Source: RNAcentral
UGGCCUUUGUCGAAUUCACGCAAUUUCGCACACGCUAAUUUUAUAAUUCUCAUUUGCAUAAUUCUGUUUCUGUUUAAAGAUUUCUGAAAGACAUUAUCCCACUGAUAUCCCGAUAUUGACAUCGCAAUGCUCACAUCCCAAUAAUUUUACGUCAGGAUUCCAAGAUGGAAAGAGGCAUUUUUCGGUAAACCCACCACUACUACGGGCAGCAGAAUCCGCCGUCCAGA